CGCUCCCGCCCAGGAGGCUGCGCAUUGGCUGCGGGGAAAAUCAAUUAUCAAAUAAUCGAUCAGCAGGGAGCUUCGAUCUGCCGGGAAUGUAAACUGCCAGUACCGAUUCCCGCCCUGACGGUGGCCAAAAGGCUGACUCCCUCAAAGCGACCGGCCUGAGCUCCCAUCCCAUGGUCCCCACCCCCAUCCCACCCUGCCAGCUGUGGAGCAAACCCUCGCCCCAGAGGGGAGAUAGUUGGUGGGAAGAGUUUUGAGAAAGAUUAGGGGGCCCCCUUCACUGGGAGUUUGUUUGGAAAAGGUUGAGAGCUCUCAAAUGUAUUGAAGCCAACUCUUAGGCGCCAAUUUGAACUUGAAAGCAGCUUUUCAGGCCAAGAUGGAACCUUCUGAACUCAGGAAAGCGAUUUUUAAUUUUUGCGAAGCCGAGCUGGCUAGGCCAGGCAGCGCACUUCUUUUCCGAUUAUGGGGAGGGCUGCGCUGGGCCGUCAGCAGUGAGCUCUUCCCCAGCUCCUGAGGGCUGUGGCCCACACCUGAGCGCCUUCCGACAGCUACUCCCGGGGGUGGGAGCGCUGUCUCCCCAGCAGGCCUGCCAGGCAUCAGCGCGGCUUGGGCGGGGGGGGCGGGAGGGGGUCCAACCAGACACCAACACAGGCUCCUCUACGUUUAUGGUCCUUAAAUGAACUGCGAGGAAGGUUAUCAGAAGUGAAAGAAGGAAGGUUCAGUCCCUACAACAAAAGCUAACAAGCAGAAAAUUCUUCCAGGAACGGAUCACAAGUGAGCACAGCUCUGUCCUGUAUUCUAAGCUAGUAAUGGAGGUACAGUACGGGAGCUGAAGAGGUCUAGCAGACGUGCUCCAGUCAUCAACUGCAAACAUUUACCUUUGAAGCAACUGGAUGAGCCAGAUUGGUUAUGGUUUGCAUCCAUGUUCGACUUGAUAAAGGGGCAUAAUUUGUGAAAAGCCUUCAGGCAAAAAUCGUACUGAUUAUUCAAAACUAAAUAUUUUAACAUUUCAUUGAGUUAGCUAAUGAAUAAGAAAAACAUCGAAGGCUUCCUGCAGCUCAGAAAGAAUUCUAGUGGCGUGGAAAGCACAAGGAGCAAAGAACAAGAAACUGAAGGACUCCUGCUGAGCAGUUAUUCGCUUGUGAAUAUCUGAAAAUGUAUUCUUCUGUGCGUUAUUUAAAAAUGAAAAAUAAACAUCAUCUUUCCUUGUC
This 1208-nucleotide long non-coding RNA is filed under the name Heterocephalus glaber (naked mole-rat). RNAcentral describes it as "lncRNA (ENSHGLG00000046374.1)". Lineage: Eukaryota; Metazoa; Chordata; Mammalia; Rodentia; Bathyergidae. The record is from RNAcentral.